RNAcentral lists this transfer RNA (65 nucleotides) under Stenocatantops splendens. RNAcentral's name for it is "tRNA-Pro". The record is from RNAcentral. Lineage: Eukaryota; Metazoa; Arthropoda; Insecta; Orthoptera; Acrididae. RNAcentral also lists the same sequence under 1 other name.
CAGGGGUUAGUUUAUUAAAAUAUUGGUUUUGGGGACCGAGGAUAGAAAGCUUUUUCUACCCCUGA